This 36-nucleotide ribosomal RNA is filed under the name Candida albicans. RNAcentral's name for it is "partial 18S ribosomal RNA". Lineage: Eukaryota; Fungi; Ascomycota; Pichiomycetes; Serinales; Debaryomycetaceae. The record is from RNAcentral.
GUAACCUGCGGAAGGAUCAUUACUGAUUUGCUUAAU